RNAcentral lists this ribosomal RNA (250 nucleotides) under uncultured Anaerolineaceae bacterium. RNAcentral describes it as "partial 16S ribosomal RNA". It matches the Rfam family "Bacterial small subunit ribosomal RNA", at positions 1136 to 1382 of the family's 1533-position model. The record is from RNAcentral. Lineage: Bacteria; Bacillati; Chloroflexota; Anaerolineae; Anaerolineales; Anaerolineaceae.
GUGUCACACGGAACUGCCGGUCGAUAAACCGGAGGAAGGUGGGGAUGACGUCAAGUCAGCAUGGCCUUUAUAUCCUGGGCUACACACACGCUACAAUGGGAAGGGACAAUAGGUUGCGAAGCCGCGAGGCGGAGCCAAUCCAGCAAAACUUCCCUCAGUUCAGAUUGCAGGCUGCAACCCGCCUGCAUGAAGUUGGAGUUGCUAGUAAACGCAGGUCAGCCAUACUGCGUUGAAUACGUUCCCGGGGCUU